AUUGAACGCUGGCGGCAUGCCUUACACAUGCAAGUCGAACGGCAGCACGGGAGCAAUCCUGGUGGCGAGUGGCGAACGGGUGAGUAAUAUAUCGGAACGUGCCCAGUCGUGGGGGAUAACGUAGCGAAAGCUACGCUAAUACCGCAUACGAUCUAUGGAUGAAAGCGGGGGAUCGCAAGACCUCGCGCGAUUGGAGCGGCCGAUAUCAGAUUAGGUAGUUGGUGAGGUAAAGGCUCACCAAGCCGACGAUCUGUAGCUGGUCUGAGAGGACGACCAGCCACACUGGGACUGAGACACGGCCCAGACUCCUACGGAGGCAGCAGUGGGGGAAUUUUUGGGACAAUGGGCGCAAGCCUGAUCCAGCAAUGCCGCGUGCAGGAUGAAGGCCUUCGGGUU
This 396-nucleotide ribosomal RNA is filed under the name uncultured bacterium. RNAcentral's name for it is "bacterial SSU rRNA". It matches the Rfam family "Bacterial small subunit ribosomal RNA", at positions 30 to 424 of the family's 1533-position model. The record is from RNAcentral.